GCAGUCGUGGCCGAGUGGUUAGGACGAUGGACUAGAAAUCCAUUGGGGUCUCCCCGCACAGGUUUGAAUCCUGUCGACUGCG
RNAcentral lists this transfer RNA (82 nucleotides) under Ixodes scapularis (black-legged tick). It matches the Rfam family "tRNA". From Rfam's summary of the family: Transfer RNA (tRNA) molecules are approximately 80 nucleotides in length. Their secondary structure includes four short double-helical elements and three loops (D, anti-codon, and T loops). Lineage: Eukaryota; Metazoa; Arthropoda; Arachnida; Ixodida; Ixodidae. The record is from Rfam by way of RNAcentral.